Molecule: ribosomal RNA, 253 nt
Filed under: uncultured bacterium
Lineage: Bacteria
Description: partial 16S ribosomal RNA
Rfam family: Bacterial small subunit ribosomal RNA
Source: RNAcentral
UACGAAGGGGGCUAGCGUUAUCCGGAAUUAUUGGGCGUAAAGCGUCCGUAGGUGGUUGACCAAGUCUGCUGUCAAAGGGUGGGGCUUAACCUCAUAAAGGCAGUGGAAACUGGUGAGCUAGAGUGCGGUAGGGGUAAGGGGAAUUCCCAGUGUAGCGGUGAAAUGCGUAGAGAUUGGGAAGAACAUCGGUGGCGAAAGCGCCUUGCUGGGCCUGCACUGACACUGAGGGACGAAAGCUAGGGGAGCGAAAGGG